This 610-nucleotide long non-coding RNA is filed under the name Theobroma cacao (cacao). RNAcentral describes it as "long non-coding RNA (TCAC_LNC003548)". Lineage: Eukaryota; Viridiplantae; Streptophyta; Magnoliopsida; Malvales; Malvaceae. The record is from RNAcentral.
CUUCUUUUCUUUCUUCUUCUCCUUUUCUUUCCUGUCUUUUUCUUUUUCUUCCUCUUUGCCUUCUUUUGCUUUACCCUUCUGCUUCUCUUCCUCUCCUUCACCUUCUGAUUCUUUCUCAAAAUCUACUAUUUCAAUUUCCCUGGAGGUUAUGUCAGUCUCACACUUCAUGUCAUUUGCUCCAUCUUUGUGUUUCUUCUUCUCCUCCUCAUCAGUUUCUUUCUUCUUGCUCUUCUCUUCGUCCUUGUGCUUUGUUUCUUUCUCCUCUUUGUCUUUCUUUUUCUCCUUUUUCUCUUCUUUCUCUUUCUUCUUCUUCUUCUCUCCUACCUCUUCAUCUUCAUCCUUGUGCUUCUUUUCUUUCUUCUUCUCCUUUUCUUUCCUGUCUUUUCUUUUCUUUCUCUUUGCCUUCUUUUGCUUUACCCUUCUGCUUCUCUUCCUCUCCUUCACCUUCUGAUUCUUUCUCAAAAUCUACUAUUUCAAUUUCCCUGGAGGUUAUGUCAGUCUCACACUUCAUGUCAUUUGCUCCAUCUUCGUGUUUCUUCUUCUCCUUCUCAUCAGUUUCUUUCUUCUUGCUCUUCUCUUCGUCCUUGUGCUUUGUUUCNCUCUCCUCUCU